RNAcentral lists this ribosomal RNA (461 nucleotides) under uncultured beta proteobacterium. RNAcentral describes it as "bacterial SSU rRNA". It matches the Rfam family "Bacterial small subunit ribosomal RNA", at positions 969 to 1431 of the family's 1533-position model. The record is from RNAcentral. Lineage: Bacteria; Pseudomonadati; Pseudomonadota; Betaproteobacteria.
CCUUACCCACCUUUGACAUGUACGGAAGGAUCCAGAGAUGGAUUUGUGCUCGAAAGAGAACCGUAACACAGGUGCUGCAUGGCUGUCGUCAGCUCGUGUCGUGAGAUGUUGGGUUAAGUCCCGCAACGAGCGCAACCCUUGUCAUUAGUUGCUACAUUUAGUUGGGCACUCUAAUGAGACUGCCGGUGACAAACCGGAGGAAGGUGGGGAUGACGUCAAGUCCUCAUGGCCCUUAUAGGUGGGGCUACACACGUCAUACAAUGGCUGGUACAAAGGGUUGCCAACCCGCGAGGGGGAGCUAAUCCCAUAAAACCAGUCGUAGUCCGGAUCGCAGUCUGCAACUCGACUGCGUGAAGUCGGAAUCGCUAGUAAUCGUGGAUCAGAAUGUCACGGUGAUACGUUCCCGGGUCUUGUACACACCGCCCGUCACACCAUGGGAGCGGGUUCUGCCAGAAGUAGUU